This 379-nucleotide unclassified non-coding RNA is filed under the name uncultured Caryophanales bacterium. Its description in RNAcentral is "uncultured Bacillales bacterium contains 16S-23S intergenic spacer region". Lineage: Bacteria; Bacillati; Bacillota; Bacilli; Caryophanales. The record is from RNAcentral.
UCCGGUUUGUCACCGGCAGUCAUCUUAGAGUGCCCACCUUAAAGUGCUGGCAACUAAGAUCAAGGGUUGCGCUCGUUGCGGGACUUAACCCAACAUCUCACGACACGAGCUGACGACAACCAUGCACCACCUGUCUCCUCUGUCCCGAAGGAAAGGUACAUCUCUGUACCGGUCAGAGGGAUGUCAAGACCUGGUAAGGUUCUUCGCGUUGCUUCGAAUUAAACCACAUACUCCACUGCUUGUGCGGGUCCCCGUCAAUUCCUUUGAGUUUUAGCCUUGCGGCCGUACUCCCCAGGCGGGGUGCUUAAUGCGUUAGCUUCGGCACGGGAGGAGUCGACACCUCCCACACCUAGCACCCAUCGUUUACGGCGUGGACUAC